UACUCUCACUCUCAUUCUCAUAGACAUUCAAAUUUUCUCAGCCCCGCCACCUCCAACCUCGCUCCCUUCCCUCGCCGCCGCUCCUUCGCCGUCCACCCCCACAGCACCCUCUCCGAUGUCUUCACCCCACAGCACCCUCUCCAAUCUCUUCACCCCGCAGCACCCUCUCCGAUCUUGCGCCAAAUAAGGAUUUCUCAAAACUAAAAAGACUCUUCUCUUUUUUCUCUCCUUCACCUCUUCCAUGCCGUGACUAGUUAGAUAGUUCCAACCUCCAACUUCCAAACGACGAGCCAUCUUGUUAGUUUCAUGGAACCGCAUUCGAUUCGGCGAAUCAUCGUGUUUGUAACCAUAACCAUCUUCUCCCUCUCACUCCUUGCCAUUUUGACAGUGUUGUUAAUCGCGUUUGUAGGUUUUGGUAGUGGUGGGACUCUUACCGUAGCCAUGGCGGUGUCCGUGACGCGUGGUUCGGAGAAAGGAACCAUGGCUAGUUCGCAUCGCAAACUCAACAUGGAGGCAAUUCAUUAACAUAGGCAUACCAUUUUUUUUUGUUUUUUUUAAUUGCGUGGCUCCUGUUUGUUUUGUGUUGAUGCUGCGAUGAAAUUUUUGCAGGCAAGAAAAUAUGCCACUUAGAUUGUUGCAAAUUUACAGAGGUAGCAGGUUUAGUCCAAGCUCAUCGCCUCUGAUUACUUGGAUACUAAUUUGGAUCUUAUGGAUGUCUUGGUAUUUGGGUCAUUUUGGUCAUGGCUUUAUAUCAAAUAUGUUCUGGACUCACUACGAAGAAGUUUUUUGACUACAUUCAGCUUCCAAAUUUUGACAUAGCUGCAGAUGCCGCAGCAACUUUUAAGGAGCUAAUGACAAGGCAUAAAUCUACUGUAGCUGAUUUCCUUAGCAAUUAUUAUGAAUGGGUAGUUUUGACACUUGUCUAUUGAGAUGUCACUUUUUGUCAUAUUCUUAGCAUGGAUGUUAUGCUUGAUUUGUGAAGGAGAAAAAAAGUUUUUUUUUUCUUUUCAUGAUGAAAGUUAAUGACUUGGCUUGUGAGUGUGUCAGCUACUAGGUAUUGUGUUCAAGGAUGUAAAAUAUUAAAUAUCACUCAAAGCUUUCUGAACAAUGCGGUCAUUAAUUGCU
Long non-coding RNA from Glycine soja, 1125 nucleotides. RefSeq lists it as uncharacterized. Lineage: Eukaryota; Viridiplantae; Streptophyta; Magnoliopsida; Fabales; Fabaceae. The transcript has 4 exons. The record is from RefSeq and is a predicted model, not a curated record.